GUUCCCAGAGUCAGGUGCCUGACACCACGGAGGCCCCAACUCCAUGAUUCUGUGUCUAUAAGUCAGGCAAAGUCCCAAGCUCCUGGCAUUCUGGCUAGACUCCACCCCCACAGUUACCUGGCAACAGCAAGAUAGCCUAGCCCACUAUAAAAGGAGCUGCUUGGCCCCUCCUCACUCUUUAAGCUCUCACCAUCCUUACUCUCAUCUCUAGCCCUCCUCUCUCUCCCUCCCCUCCCCCCCCCCCCCACGCGGCCAUGGACAGCCUCCCUCUUUCUACCUUCUUUCUCCCUACCUUCCUACAACAAAGCUCGGAGACUGUCUCUGCUCGUCAAGGCCCACUAUGCUUCAACAAUGGGAUAGGCUUCCCAUAACCAGCCGCGUCUAACCUCCCGUUAGAAGGCCUUCCUGCGCUCCAGCCACUGACCAGACCAAGGUCUCUCACCCACGUGGGAACCACCCAGCGCCUCCCUCUCCCCCGGCCCUCUCCUCCCUUCAGCACCAGGUCCGAUGGCUGAGAACCUGGUGCCUAGGACUACCCCUUGUCCACCACCCGCGGAGCUGGGGCCAGUGGCUUCACACCCAGACACCCACGCGGGGCUGUGGGGUAAGCGCGCGACAGUCCUUCCGAGUCCGCCCGCCCAGAGCAUCAGAACUCUGAUGGGACAGGGGUUUUCUCCCACCCCCACCCCCUCCCCCCCCCCCCCCCCCGCACUCCCUGCCCCACAAUUGUGUUCAUUGGGGGCAUGCUGCACCUUCUUGAAGACAGGAGCCAAGAAAGGAGUCUGACAUCAGGCAGCCUCAGGAAGAAAGCAGGCAAGCAAGCAGGCCAGUCAGCUGGCAGCUCCUAACCCCAGGUCUGAGGAAACUGUCUUUAAGCUGGAGGAGCUCACAGUGGCUUUGAUUUUCAGAAGAUCUCCACAGCCAAAGGUGGUUAUUACAUCAAACGGAUAACUGAAUGCAUUUCUACCAGGACCGACAAUCACACUCAGCCGGCAGGGAAAAUGAACAAAUAAUGUCAAUAAAAAAAAUUUUUCCCCCA
Molecule: long non-coding RNA, 1039 nt
Filed under: Mus spicilegus (steppe mouse)
Lineage: Eukaryota; Metazoa; Chordata; Mammalia; Rodentia; Muridae
Description: lncRNA (ENSMSIG00000024088.1)
Source: RNAcentral